RNAcentral lists this ribosomal RNA (467 nucleotides) under uncultured bacterium. RNAcentral's name for it is "partial 16S ribosomal RNA". It matches the Rfam family "Bacterial small subunit ribosomal RNA", at positions 28 to 506 of the family's 1533-position model. The record is from RNAcentral.
GAUGAACGCUGGCGGCGUGCUUAACACAUGCAAGUCGAACGGUGAAGGCGGAGCUUGCUCUGCUGGAUCAGUGGCGAACGGGUGAGUAACACGUGAGCAAUCUGCCCCUGACUCUGGGAUAAGCGCUGGAAACGGCGUCUAAUACUGGAUACGAGCUGCGAAGGCAUCUUCAGCAGCUGGAAAGAAUUUCGGUCAGGGAUGAGCUCGCGGCCUAUCAGCUUGUUGGUGAGGUAAUGGCUCACCAAGGCGUCGACGGGUAGCCGGCCUGAGAGGGUGACCGGCCACACUGGGACUGAGACACGGCCCAGACUCCUACGGGAGGCAGCAGUGGGGAAUAUUGCACAAUGGGCGAAAGCCUGAUGCAGCAACUCCGCGUGAGGGACGACGGCCUUCGGGUUGUAAACCUCUUUUAGCAGGGAAGAAGCGAAAGUGACGGUACCUGCAGAAAAAGCGCCGGCUAACUACGU